UUCAUAUUGGACAUUCACUGGUAAAAUAAUUAGUGUUUGGUCUAGCUACUUACAAUCUGCAGUGCUUGUUCUGCUCAGUACCUCAUGGACAUUUAUGUUUAGAGGAGGACUUUUAUUUUGAUGCACGUACCUGUUGCUGCUAGAGUCACAGGCAGCAGUUAGCAGUCAGAGACGAUAAAAUGCUACUGUUGUCAAUGCUACUGAGGCUGUUCAUUUAUAUCAGUAAACUAAUUAAAUCAUC
Molecule: long non-coding RNA, 241 nt
Organism: Astyanax mexicanus (Mexican tetra)
Lineage: Eukaryota; Metazoa; Chordata; Actinopteri; Characiformes; Acestrorhamphidae
Exons: 2
Source: RefSeq, a predicted model, not a curated record